RNAcentral lists this ribosomal RNA (720 nucleotides) under uncultured bacterium. RNAcentral's name for it is "bacterial SSU rRNA". It matches the Rfam family "Bacterial small subunit ribosomal RNA", at positions 73 to 787 of the family's 1533-position model. The record is from RNAcentral.
GCGGGAGCAAUCCUGGCGGCGAGUGGCGAACGGGUGAGUAAUACAUCGGAACGUGCCCAAUCGUGGGGGAUAACGUAGCGAAAGCUACGCUAAUACCGCAUAAGAUCUACGGAUGAAAGCGGGGGAUUCGCAAGAACCUCGCGCGAGUGGAGCGGCUGAUGGCAGAUUAGGUAGUUGGUGAGGUAAAGGCUCACCAAGCCUUCGAUCUGUAGCUGGUCUGAGAGGACGACCAGCCACACUGGGACUGAGACACGGCCCAAACUCCUACGGGAGGCAGCAGUGGGGAAUUUUGGACAAUGGGCGAAAGCCUGAUCCAGCAAUGCCGCGUGCAGGAUGAAGGCCUUCGGGUUGUAAACUGCUUUUGUACGGAACGAAAAGGUCUGCCCUAAUACGGCGGGCCCAUGACGGUACCGUAAGAAUAAGCACCGGCUAACUACGUGCCAGCAGCCGCGGUAAUACGUAGGGUGCGAGCGUUAAUCGGAAUUACUGGGCGUAAAGCGUGCGCAGGCGGUUAUGUAAGACAGUUGUGAAAUCCCCGGGCUCAACCUGGGAACUGCAUCUGUGACUGCAUAGCUAGAGUACGGUAGAGGGGGAUGGAAUUCCGCGUGUAGCAGUGAAAUGCGUAGAUAUGCGGAGGAACACCGAUGGCGAAGGCAAUCCCCUGGACCUGUACUGACGCUCAUGCACGAAAGCGUGGGGAGCAAACAGGAUUAGAUACCC